This 274-nucleotide ribosomal RNA is filed under the name uncultured bacterium. RNAcentral's name for it is "partial 16S ribosomal RNA". It matches the Rfam family "Bacterial small subunit ribosomal RNA", at positions 523 to 796 of the family's 1533-position model. The record is from RNAcentral.
ACACGGAGGGCGCAAGCGUUGCUCGGAAUCACUGGGCGUAAAGCGGGUGUAGGCGGUCUAGCAAGUCAGAUGUGAAAGCCCACGGCUCAACCGUGGAAGUGCAUCUGAAACUGCUAGACUUGAGUGCCGGAGAGGGAAGUGGAAUUCCUGGUGUAGGGGUGAAAUCCGUAGAUAUCAGGAGGAACACCGGUGGCGAAGGCGACUUCCUGGACGGCCACUGACGCUGAGACCCGAAAGCGUGGGGAGCAAACAGGAUUAGAAACCCCAGUAGUCC